GAUGAAGAACGUAGCGAAAUGCGAUAAGUAAUGUGAAUUGCAGAAUUCAGUGAAUCAUCGAAUCUUUGAACGCACAUUGCGCCCGCCAGUAUUCUGGCGGGCAUGCCUGUCUGAGCGUCAUUUCAACCCUCAUGCCCCUAGGGCGUGGUGUUGGGGAUCGGCCAAAGCCCGCGAGGGACGGCCGGCCCCUAAAUCUAGUGGCGGACCCGUCGUGGCCUCCUCUGCGAAGUAGUGAUAUUCCGCAUCGGAGAGCGAUGAGCCCCUGCCGUUAAACCCCCAACUUUCCAAGGUUGAUCUCAGAUCAGGUAGGAAUACCCGCUGAACUUAAGCAUAUCAAUAAGCGGAGGA
Molecule: unclassified non-coding RNA, 348 nt
Filed under: soil metagenome
Description: partial contains 5.8S ribosomal RNA, internal transcribed spacer 2, and large subunit ribosomal RNA
Rfam family: 5.8S ribosomal RNA (bases 1-120)
Source: RNAcentral